GACGAACGCUGGCGGCGUGCUUAACACAUGCAAGUCGAACGGAAAGGCCCUGCUUUUGUGGGGUGCUCGAGUGGCGAACGGGUGAGUAACACGUGAGUAACCUGCCCUUGACUUUGGGAUAACUUCAGGAAACUGGGGCGAAUACCGGAUAGGAGCUCCUGCUGCAUGGGGGGGGUUGGAAAGUUUCGGCGGUUGGGGCUGGACUCGCGGCUUAUCAGCUUGUUGGUGGGGUAGUGGCUUACCAAGGCUUUGACGGGUAGCCCGCCUGAGAGGGUGACCGGCCACAUUGGGACUGAGAUACGGCCCAGACUCCUACGGGCGGCAGCAGUGGGGAAUAUUGCACAAUGGGCGGAAGCCUGAUGCAGCAACGCCGCGUGCGGGAUGACGGCCUUCGGGUUGUAAACAGCUUUCGCCUGUGACGAAGCGUGAGUGACGGUAAUGGGUAAAGAAGCACCGGCUAACUACGUG
RNAcentral lists this ribosomal RNA (468 nucleotides) under uncultured bacterium. Its description in RNAcentral is "partial 16S ribosomal RNA". It matches the Rfam family "Bacterial small subunit ribosomal RNA", at positions 28 to 507 of the family's 1533-position model. The record is from RNAcentral.